CGCGGUCGCCAGGUAGAGCUGCUUUCCGGGCCUGGGCGGUCCCUGGCUCCUCAGCCCCAGCCCGAAGGACACCGGGGCGAAGGCGGGAGCCACCAGUGAGCGCCAUUGCCCGGUGCCUUACGCCACUGGUCUGGUUUGGCGCACACGGAUGCUCUGCCACGUCGGAAUUGUCGCCCUUAUUUUGGAGGAAACGAAACCGAGGCUCCGGAGAGCAUCACUUCUUAUGACUCAGACCUCGAUUUCAGAAACCCAGAAACCGUGAGGAAUAUGACAGAGCAAAGCAUACGAGAGAGGAAAUCUUAGGCCUGGUCUUCAGUCUCUCAGUAAUGCAAUGGGUAAAUUUAGCCUCCAUUCCAGACACGUGUCCACUUUGCACGUGGAUCCACUGAGAAAGCACUACCCUGGCUGGGGACAGUGGCUGACAGACAUCAAGAGAGCAUCAUUUUGUCCACCUGCUUGUUGAACGUCUCCUUUCCAAAUGAUGCCCUCUGGUUCCUACAAGUGCAUGUGGCCAGCAGCAUCUGGUGGCCAGCACCUUUUCAUUUCUUGGGUGGUGCUGUGAGAUACUUCCCCAUGGAUAGCUUUCCCUGGCGUUCUGAAAUGAGGAUUUCUGUGCAUCCUGCUCAGCAGUCUCAGUAUUCUGUCUCUAACAAUGGUGAAAAGGGAGUUUAGGAUUCUUUUGACAAGGUGAAGCCCUUAAAAGCUGAUCAGAAGCAUCUAUCACCACCACCAUCAAUCACCACCUUGGGCAUCAACUUGAGGGAUUUUAUUGUUGAACCGACUUGUUAAGAGGUCCCAAAUUUCCAGUGUCUGUGUGUCUUUUCUCCUGGGAAGGACUGUACGUCCCCACCCCUGGCCCCCUGCCUGAGGUGAAAUGAGCCUAUCCGAUGUAUUCUGGACAUUGGCAGGAAAAGGAGACUGCAGGUAUCGUGGUUCAGCAUGAUUAGGGGGUGGUAGGGAGGGUCCUGGUGGCCUAACUGCUCUUUACACAAAAUUUUAACCAGUUAUGCUUGUACAUUUGUGUGGUAAAAUAUACAUAAAACUUACUAUUUCAACCAUUUUUAAGCAUACAACUCAGUGGCAUUAAGUACAUUCACAAUGAUGUGUAGCAAUCACCACUAUCCAUACCCAAACCUUUGUCAUCAUCUUCAACAGAACCUCCACGCAUUAAACACCAACACUCUGUCCCCCUUCUCCUGGUUCCUGGUGACCUCCGUUCUGUCUGUCUCUGUGAGUUGGCCUAUUCUGGUACCUCAUGUAAGAAUUAUACAGUAUUUGUCCUUCUGUGUUCUUCAUACCUUUUUACCUUUAUGUUUUUCAGUAACUCAGAUUAAGUCAGUGCCCAAGGCCAUCAGCUCUGAGUGGCAACAUGGCCACAGGAACCGGUGUCAAGACACUAGUCUCAGCUGUUGGGCCGCUACUACCUCAGUGGUUGACUUUUGCCAUCCAUAUGCCUGUGUAUCCAUAUGUAGCAGGGAUUUUGCAUUUGCCAUUAAAUACUGAAUGUUUUUCAAACCAUUCGGAAUUCUCUGAAACUUUUUAAUGCUUCUUAACAGUCAUUUUUUAUGUAUCAUGCUUUAUUUUUUAUUGUUUUGAAUUUUAAAUAACAGUAUAUACCUUCGUACAUAAAUACCUGUAUUUCUGACUAGAACUCUAUGGUAAAAGAGAAUGUCAUUUCUGGUUCAAACAAUAGAACAUAAUUAUUAUUUGAUACUUGUUAAAUUACCCUUCAGAAAUUAGCAAGUUUAUAAUACGUAAGUAUUCUUAAGUCAUCUUCAUUACUACUAAUUUUAAUUAGGUAAAAAUAAGGUUCUACUGAUUUUAAGAGUCUUUAAUAACUGGUAAAGAAUAUUUUUCAUUUUCUCUAUAUUGCUUAGGCCACUAGCUCAUUUUCUAUUCUGUAUUUUAAGGUAUUCAUGUGAACCUUUUCCUAUAUUUUGUGCCAUAUUUUUUCCCCCAAUUGUUCCCUCAUUUUAAAUUUGAUGAAUGGGUGAAACAGAAAAUAGAGUCCAGCAGUCAUUUUGUCUGGUUUCCUCACUUGAGAUCUAGAUUUUUUUCAUGGUGAGGGGUUAACACUUUCAUGGCCUUUGUGGUUUCAAAGUAGAGAGAUU
This is a non-coding RNA of Vicugna pacos (alpaca), 2111 nucleotides long. NCBI's taxonomy places the organism in Eukaryota, Metazoa, Chordata, Mammalia, Artiodactyla, Camelidae. The record is from RefSeq and is a predicted model, not a curated record.